Molecule: long non-coding RNA, 386 nt
Filed under: Olea europaea (common olive)
Lineage: Eukaryota; Viridiplantae; Streptophyta; Magnoliopsida; Lamiales; Oleaceae
Description: long non-coding RNA (OEUR_LNC010765)
Source: RNAcentral
CACCAAUGGCUAGCCCCCUUCUUUAACAUAAACACUGAAAAUGUUACCCUUUCAGCAUCGUCACAUCUUAUAAAUUUAAAGAUGCGUUCUAAUUCUCGUAACCAAUCCUCAACUGCUAAGGGAUCCGUAUUCCCCUCAAAUGAUGGAGGGUUCAUUUUACGAAACUGCUCUAUCAUUGCAGUUCGAUCCCUCGAGUUAGGUACUAUUUGAGGUUGAAUAAUUGGUUGGUUAGGUUCCUGAUGAUCAACUGGUACUUGUUGAUUUAGGGUUCGUUGCCCAGUCAAAGGUGGUGCCUGUUGUUGCUGUCCCAACUCCCGCAUUACAGCAAGCAGUUCUCGUGCAAAGUUUGCAACAUUAACUUCACCACCACUAGAACUAGCAUUAGC